GGGGACCUUCAACAUGCUGGUCACUCAUCGUGGCGAUGGAGACGACGGACGACGGAGAGCGGUCGAGUUCUGGGUUGCUGCUGAAACAGUUGGGGUCUGGACUGGGGUGCGGGAGGCUACGCUCUAGUGAAGAAGAUGGAGUGUAACAUCUGCCAGGCAAUAUUCCAGCCUAUCCUGCUGCAGUGAGCCUAGACCCACAAUCGCUGCUCACGCCGCAUCUCGCGUCGUCUCGCGAGAACAAAGAUGGCGUCGACAAUCAUGCUAGGUCACGUGUAAAUUAAAAAUGCAAAUGUUACAGUAUAAUGUGUAAUGCGUGAAUGUUAUAUCAACGACGAUUUAUAUAAUAUGUAUAAUACACGAAAAAUAUGAAGUGUUUUAUUUCAUUC
This is a long non-coding RNA of Priapulus caudatus, 386 nucleotides long. RefSeq lists it as uncharacterized. The record is from RefSeq and is a predicted model, not a curated record. NCBI's taxonomy places the organism in Eukaryota, Metazoa, Priapulida, Priapulimorpha, Priapulimorphida, Priapulidae. The transcript has 2 exons.